This 117-nucleotide ribosomal RNA is filed under the name Paramormyrops kingsleyae. The record is from RNAcentral. Lineage: Eukaryota; Metazoa; Chordata; Actinopteri; Osteoglossiformes; Mormyridae.
CCCAGUAGCUGUACCACCUGCUGUUCAGACUAGGUAAUCAAUCUGAAGCUAAGCCAGUUUGGGCCUGCCCAGUGCUUGGACAGGAGACCAGUUAGGAAAGUUGGGUUGCUGCUGGAA